Non-coding RNA from Pelobates cultripes (western spadefoot toad), 671 nucleotides. NCBI's taxonomy places the organism in Eukaryota, Metazoa, Chordata, Amphibia, Anura, Pelobatidae. The record is from the annotation of a GenBank genome assembly.
CCGGGUUUGGGGAGUGUAAUGAUGUGUGCCAAAAGGAGGUCUGUUGGGAGCGUCUUGUUCUGAGUGGCCUCGUUGAAUAGGGAGGUCAGUGAGGGGGCUAGUUGAGUUGCGAACUUUUUGUAGUACGUAUUCGUAAAUCCGUCUGGGCCUGGUGCUUUGUUUUUAGGCAGGGUGCGUAUGGCUUCAAUCACUUCACUUGUUGUGACUCGGUUGGCUAGUUGGGCCGAUUGGUCUCUCGUGAGAGUCGGGAGGGGUAUGUCUCUUAAGUAGGUCUCUAUCUCUUUGUCCGCGGGGGUAGGUGAUUGGUUGGAUUGUGCCAGAUUAUAUAGUUUAUCAUAGUAGUUAGCGAACGUGUUGCUGAUAUCGAUGGGGGAGAUUACUUUUUUGUUAUCGUGGGUGAAGAUGUGUGAGAUCUUUGUGUUAGCUUCUUUUCUUUUCAGUCUUGCGGCUAACGUUUUGCUGGCUUUGUUUCCCUGGGCGUAGUGUGUGGAGUUAAGUUUGCGAAGAUUAAACCCUACUCGUUCUAAAGUGUGAAGUUUGAUCUUAUCCGCAAUGUCUUUAAUGGCUUUCUGUGUUGUCACCGUCGGAAGGGUUUUGUUCACUGUCGUAAGAUCCGCUAGUUGUUUGUGCCAUGCCAGCCACUGGGUUUGGCUGGAACGUUUUAGUUGUGC